GGAAUCAUUAAAAAGAAGGAAUCUAAGACUAUUUUAAAAAUUUCUCUCAAUGAUUUAAUAUUUGGGUUUUAUGUAUUUUAUUCCAUUUUAGCACUGUGAGAUAGCAUGAUUGCCUAAAGGACUGUAUUAAAGAUGAGUGCACAGUUCUGUCUUAUUUAUCUGCUGUCACAUUGUUUUGACACAGAAGAAAGUCAAGUAACAUUGAUGAAGAGCUAAAAUAUGCUCUAACUGUGGAAAAAAUAAAUAUAAAUUGUCCAUAGUUGCUCAAUUUCUAAAGUAAAAGGAAAAAAUACAGUGUAAGACUGUGAAUUAGUUCAGGAAGGUAAACUUAAGUAAUGUUUAUUUAACUUCAAGAUUUCAGUGGCUUAACUCAACAAAGGUCUGCUUCUUCUGCAUGUCACGGGACAAUGCUGGUUGGUAUGGAUGGCUCUUCUCCAUGCAGUAAUUCAGAGACACAGGCUUCUUUCAUCUAGUGAUUUAUUUUUCCCUGCAGCUUCAGAUACUCUUUUUCCCUCUCUCUGGGAUCCUUUGCAUCUGUCUGGCAGAUAUGGAGACGGAAAGCACAAGAGGAUUGUGUUAGGAGUCUUAAGGGCUGGAUGUGACACUCCUUGAAAGGGAAGCUGGGGAAUGAGUAUGUAGGUGUGUGUCCAGGAUGUAGGGAAAAUGGGUUUGGUGGGGACAGCACUUCCUGGAAUAACGUUGCUUUGGAUUUAACAACAGUUGGGCAAAGGAGGUCGGUAUACAGAUACAGGACAAGAAGAGUGGUGUCAAAGGGAGGCUAAAUCAUUGGUUCUGGCUUCAUCUAAGGAAUUCUUAUGAGAAAUCGAGGGAGAGACUGUCCUGGGAAGUCUGAUGAAACAUGAUCAAGAUAUUUUAACUUCUGUGUUUAGCGCCUUUAAUAGAUUGAGCUAAGAAGUCUAAGCAAUCUUCAGGGCUAAGAAACAAGCUGCACUUGCCAGAGUUGGAUGUUCACACCUUGGUGAUGGCUGAUAUUAAACAGAAUUCUUAAUGAACAAAUCGGCCUUGAAAAGGGAACAUGGUGAAGCAAGACAAAAGAAUUACAAACUUUGACUGAAACUUUCUCCUACCAGGAAUACAGGGACCGCUCACCAGGUUGUGAUGAGAAGGAUCAUCUGAAAUGCUCCAUUGCUCUCAGAAGUUGAGGUAACUUCAUUGGGCCCAAACUGAUAAACUAGGAAUGGCUCAGAAAAUAGCCCCUUAGAAGAACUGUAUGAAGCUUGGAUCCAUUUUUCUGAGAAAAAAGAAAAAUCCCUCCAAUGAUUUGGUGAGGAGUUGAAGACAAAUAUCUUUAUUAUUUAUAAGUAUUCUGGCCAAGACAAUGAGUGUUGGAGUGGGAGGAUGAGGGAAUUUUAUGAUGAACGACAGCACAGCAAGAUGGACAGUAAGGCUCUGUCAUUGCCAUACCAGAUGUACAGAAGUGUUGAUGGUUGUUUCUAGUUUGGGGCUAUUAUGAAGAAAGCUGCUAUGAAGAACAUCCAUGUACAAAUCAUUUUAUGGACACACAUACUCAUUGCUCUUGGGUAAAUAUCUAGGAAUAUGAUUUAUGGAUCAUAG
This 1575-nucleotide long non-coding RNA is filed under the name Homo sapiens (human). RNAcentral's name for it is "HSALNT0378216". Lineage: Eukaryota; Metazoa; Chordata; Mammalia; Primates; Hominidae. The record is from RNAcentral.